GUGCCCUGCUAGUGAUGAAGCUUGAGUUGGUAGGGACAUCUGAGUGCUGAUGAACGCCAACGGCUCUGAUGGCGGCGC
RNAcentral lists this small nucleolar RNA (78 nucleotides) under Chinchilla lanigera (long-tailed chinchilla). RNAcentral's name for it is "Small nucleolar RNA SNORD74 (ENSCLAG00000020054.1)". It matches the Rfam family "Small nucleolar RNA SNORD74". From Rfam's summary of the family: Z18 also identified as U74 (SNORD74) belongs to the C/D class of snoRNA which contain the C (UGAUGA) and D (CUGA) box motifs. Most of the members of the box C/D family function in directing site-specific 2'-O-methylation of substrate RNAs. Lineage: Eukaryota; Metazoa; Chordata; Mammalia; Rodentia; Chinchillidae. The record is from Rfam by way of RNAcentral.